UCAGCCCUAAACACAAAUAAUUUCAAAAACAAAAUUAUUCGCCAGAGUACUACCGGCAAUAGCCUAAAACUCAAAGGACUUGGCGGUGCUUUAUACCCUUCUAGAGGAGCCUGUUCUAUAAUCGAUAAACCCCGAUAGACCUCACCAAUUCUUGCCAAUACAGUCUAUAUACCGCCAUCUUCAGCAAACCCUAAAAAGGAACAAAAGUAAGCGCAAUCAUAACACAUAAAAACGUUAGGUCAAGGUGUAACCUAUGAAAUGGGAAGAAAUGGGCUACAUUUUCUAUUUCAAGAAAACCAUAUACGAAAGUUAUUAUGAAACUAAUAACCAAAGGAGGAUUUAGUAGUAAACUAAGAAUAGAGUGCUUAGUUGAAUUAGGCCAUGAAGCACGC
Molecule: ribosomal RNA, 392 nt
Filed under: Philantomba walteri
Lineage: Eukaryota; Metazoa; Chordata; Mammalia; Artiodactyla; Bovidae
Description: partial 12S ribosomal RNA
Rfam family: Bacterial small subunit ribosomal RNA
Source: RNAcentral